AUAGGUUAUCCACCUUUUGGCUAAGAUCAAGUGUAGUAUCUGUUCUUACUAGCUUAAUAUUGCUACAAUACAUUAACUACAGACUUUACUCUGAUUUUGUCACUUUUU
This 108-nucleotide small nuclear RNA is filed under the name Panthera leo (lion). RNAcentral's name for it is "U2 spliceosomal RNA (ENSPLOG00000004782.1)". It matches the Rfam family "U2 spliceosomal RNA". Rfam says of the family: U2 is a small nuclear RNA (snRNA) component of the spliceosome (involved in pre-mRNA splicing). Complementary binding between U2 snRNA (in an area lying towards the 5' end but 3' to hairpin I) and the branchpoint sequence (BPS) of the intron results the bulging out of an unpaired adenosine, on the BPS, which initiates a nucleophilic attack at the intronic 5' splice site, thus starting the first of two transesterification reactions that mediate splicing. RNAcentral also lists the same sequence under 2 other names. Lineage: Eukaryota; Metazoa; Chordata; Mammalia; Carnivora; Felidae. The record is from Rfam by way of RNAcentral.